This 301-nucleotide ribosomal RNA is filed under the name uncultured bacterium. Its description in RNAcentral is "partial 16S ribosomal RNA". It matches the Rfam family "Bacterial small subunit ribosomal RNA", at positions 509 to 807 of the family's 1533-position model. The record is from RNAcentral.
CAGUCGCCACGGUAAUACGUAGGUGGCAAGCGUUGUCCGGAAUUAUUGGGCGUAAGGGGCUCGCAGGCGGUUACUUAAGUCUGAUGUGAAAGCCCCCGGCUCAACCGGGGAGGGUCAUUGGAAACUGGGAAACUUGAGUGCAGAAGAGGAGAGUGGAAUUCCACGUGUAGCGGUGAAAUGCGUAGAGAUGUGGAGGAACACCAGUGGCGAAGGCGACUCUUUGGUCUGUAACUGACGCUGAGGAGCGAAAGCGUGGGGAGCGAACAGGAUUAGAUACCCCAGUAGUCCCUGUCUCUUAUAC